This is a long non-coding RNA of Galeopterus variegatus (Sunda flying lemur), 410 nucleotides long. RefSeq lists it as uncharacterized. The record is from RefSeq and is a predicted model, not a curated record. The transcript has 2 exons. NCBI's taxonomy places the organism in Eukaryota, Metazoa, Chordata, Mammalia, Dermoptera, Cynocephalidae.
UAACACAAAUGCCAAUGUUACUGAAUGGAUGCCAGGCACAAGAUCUGAAGAAGGAAGAAGGAGGAAAGCCAUAAAGUGUGAGAGGGACUCGACCUGUCUGGCUUUGAAGAUGGAGGAAGGGGGCCAUUGCUGAGGAACGUGGGAAGCCUCUAGAACUUGGGAACAGCCUUACGCUGACAGACAGCAAGGAAACAGGAGUGAGUGUCAUCUUCACCACUGAAAUCUUCACCAAGCACAGUAGGAAGACAGGCGUGCAAAAACCUUAGAUUAAAAAACGAAUUUCUUUGAUGGCUGACAAUUUCCCCUUGUAAGAACUGCUUGUCCUUUUCUCAUUUAACUGGGUUUGAUAAUUUUCUUUAAUUGUAAGAGUUAUUCAAGUAAUAUAAACCUCAACCCUGUGUUAUACCUGC